Molecule: ribosomal RNA, 253 nt
Filed under: uncultured bacterium
Lineage: Bacteria
Description: partial 16S ribosomal RNA
Rfam family: Bacterial small subunit ribosomal RNA
Source: RNAcentral
UACGGGGGAUGCAAGCGUUAUCCGGAUUUACUGGGUGUAAAGGGGGCGCAGACGGCGAUGCAAGCCAGGAGUGAAAGCCCGGGGCCCUACCCCGGGACUGCUCUUGGAACUGCGUGGCUGGAGUGCAGGAGGGGCAGGCGGAAUUCCUGGUGUAGCGGUGAAAUGCGUAGAUAUCAGGAGGAACACCGGUGGCGAAGGCGGCCUGCUGGACUGCAACUGACGUUGAGGCCCGAAAGCGUGGGGAGCAAACAGG